GACGAACGCUGGCGGCGUGCUUAACACAUGCAAGUCGAACGGAAAGGCCCUGCUUUUGUGGGGUGCUCGAGUGGCGAACGGGUGAGUAACACGUGAGUAACCUGCCCUUGACUUUGGGAUAACUUCAGGAAACUGGGGCUAAUACCGGAUAGGAGCUCCUGCUGCAUGGUGGGGGUUGGAAAGUUUCGGCGGUUGGGGAUGGACUCGCGGCUUAUCAGCUUGUUGGUGGGGUAGUGGCUUACCAAGGCUUCGAUGGGUAGCCGGCCUGAGAGGGUGACCGGAGACACUGGGACUGAGGCACGGCCCAGAGUGCUACGGGAGGGAGGAGGGGGGAAUAGUAGACAGUGGGCGAAAGGCUGAUCCAGCAAUGCCGCGUGAGUGAUGAAGGGGUUGGGGAGGUAAAGCUGUUUUACCCGGGGGGAUAAUGACGGUACCGGGAGAAUAAGCCCCGGCUAACUCCGUG
Molecule: ribosomal RNA, 463 nt
Filed under: uncultured bacterium
Lineage: Bacteria
Description: partial 16S ribosomal RNA
Rfam family: Bacterial small subunit ribosomal RNA
Source: RNAcentral